AAAGUCGUAACAAGGUUUCCGUAGGUGAACCUGCGGAAGGAUCAUUAACACUAUCCAAACCUUUCAAACCCCAAACCGUUGUUUUGUUUCUCUACUUUUAUAAACCGUAUGCUGAAGUAUGUUUCUUUUUUGUGAUAUAGUAUGUUAGAAUGUUGGAAACAACCUCUUGUGACCUCUAGUAUAUUCGAAAAAAAAUGUAUGGAAGUAUGCAAUUGUUUUCUUAUUAACCCCAACUAAAACAGUUUCUUGAACAGUUAAAAGGUGAAGAAGUAAUGCUCUUUGUCUUUGAUUUAUUUUAUAAAUCUAAACUAAGUACAACUCUAAGCGAUGGAUGUCUCGGCUCUU
This 345-nucleotide unclassified non-coding RNA is filed under the name Basidiomycota sp. RNAcentral's name for it is "partial contains small subunit ribosomal RNA and internal transcribed spacer 1". The stretch from base 1 to 47 matches the Rfam family "Eukaryotic small subunit ribosomal RNA", at positions 1785 to 1831 of the family's 1831-position model. Lineage: Eukaryota; Fungi; Basidiomycota. The record is from RNAcentral.